CAUCUUUGAGAAAUCAACACAAUACUUUUAGUAUUAACAGAGUUUAACUACUCCUCAAAAAC
This 62-nucleotide transfer RNA is filed under the name Phascolosorex dorsalis (narrow-striped marsupial shrew). RNAcentral describes it as "tRNA-Lys". The record is from RNAcentral. Lineage: Eukaryota; Metazoa; Chordata; Mammalia; Dasyuromorphia; Dasyuridae.